GCGGAUGUAGCUCAGUUGGUAGAGCCCCGGAUUGUGAUUCCGGUUGUCGCGAGUUCAAGCCUCGUCAUUCGCCCCA
This 76-nucleotide transfer RNA is filed under the name Psychromonas sp. CNPT3. Its description in RNAcentral is "tRNA-His (GTG) (tRNA-His-GTG-1-1, tRNA-His-GTG-1-2)". It matches the Rfam family "tRNA". Rfam says of the family: Transfer RNA (tRNA) molecules are approximately 80 nucleotides in length. Their secondary structure includes four short double-helical elements and three loops (D, anti-codon, and T loops). Further hydrogen bonds mediate the characteristic L-shaped molecular structure. tRNAs have two regions of fundamental functional importance: the anti-codon, which is responsible for specific mRNA codon recognition, and the 3' end, to which the tRNAs corresponding amino acid is attached (by aminoacyl-tRNA synthetases). tRNAs cope with the degeneracy of the genetic code in two manners: having more than one tRNA (with a specific anti-codon) for a particular amino acid; and 'wobble' base-pairing, i.e. permitting non-standard base-pairing at the 3rd anti-codon position. Lineage: Bacteria; Pseudomonadati; Pseudomonadota; Gammaproteobacteria; Alteromonadales; Psychromonadaceae. The record is from RNAcentral. RNAcentral also lists the same sequence under 1 other name.